RNAcentral lists this ribosomal RNA (254 nucleotides) under uncultured bacterium. RNAcentral's name for it is "partial 16S ribosomal RNA". It matches the Rfam family "Bacterial small subunit ribosomal RNA", at positions 524 to 776 of the family's 1533-position model. The record is from RNAcentral.
GACGAACCGUGCGAACGUUAUUCGGAAUCACUGGGCUUAAAGCGCGUGUAGGCGGGCCGGCACGUCGGUCGCUGAAAUCCCCCGGCUCAACCGGGGAAGCGGCGCCGAUACGACCGGCCUCGAGGGACGUAGGGGGGGCUGGAACUUCCGGUGGAGCGGUGAAAUGCGUUGAGAUCGGAAGGAACGCCCGUGGCGAAAGCGGGCCCCUGGACGUCCACUGACGCUGAGACGCGAAAGCCAGGGGAGCGAACGGG